CUCAGAAUUAACGCUAGCGAUACACCUAACACAUGCAAGUUGAACGCAUAUAUUUUUAUAUGAGUAGCGAACGGGUGCGUAACACGUGAGAAUCUACCCAUAGCUUAUGGUUAAAUGCCGUAGAAUCUUAUAGAUUUAGAUAUAUAUCGGUUAUGGAUGAGCUUGCGGGGUAUUAGGUAGUUGGUGUGGUAAUGGCGCACCAAGCCCAAGAUGCCUAGCCGGUUUGAGAGAACGAUCGGCCACACUGGGACUGAGACACGGCCCAGACGCUUACGAGCGGCAGCAGUGGGGAAUAUUGGACAAUGGGCGAAAGCCUGAUCCAGUGAUAUCGCUUUGGGGAUGACGGCGACAUACGUUGUAAACCCAAUGAAGUACGUUUAGAUUAUGACCGUACGUAUUUUAGAAGUCCCGGCUAAUCUCGUGCCAGCAGCCGCGGUAAACGCACUCGU
RNAcentral lists this ribosomal RNA (449 nucleotides) under uncultured bacterium. RNAcentral's name for it is "bacterial SSU rRNA". It matches the Rfam family "Bacterial small subunit ribosomal RNA", at positions 23 to 530 of the family's 1533-position model. The record is from RNAcentral.